UACGUAGGGUGCAAGCGUUUAAUCGGAAUUACUGGGCGUAAAGCGUGCGCAGGCGGUGAUGUAAGACAGGUGUGAAAUCCCCGGGCUUAACCUGGGAACUGCAUUUGUGACUGCAUCGCUGGAGUGCGGCAGAGGGGGAUGGAAUUCCGCGUGUAGCAGUGAAAUGCGUAGAUAUGCGGAGGAACACCGAUGGCGAAGGCAAUCCCCUGGGCCUGCACUGACGCUCAUGCACGAAAGCGUGGGGAGCAAACAGG
This 254-nucleotide ribosomal RNA is filed under the name uncultured bacterium. RNAcentral describes it as "partial 16S ribosomal RNA". It matches the Rfam family "Bacterial small subunit ribosomal RNA", at positions 524 to 776 of the family's 1533-position model. The record is from RNAcentral.